AUUGAACGCUGGCGGCAGGCCUAACACAUGCAAGUCGAGCGGAUGAAGGGAGCUUGCUCCUGGAUUCAGCGGCGGACGGGUGAGUAAUGCCUAGGAAUCUGCCUGGUAGUGGGGGAUAACGUCCGGAAACGGGCGCUAAUACCGCAUACGUCCUGAGGGAGAAAGUGGGGGAUCUUCGGACCUCACGCUAUCAGAUGAGCCUAGGUCGGAUUAGCUAGUUGGUGGGGUAAAGGCCUACCAAGGCGACGAUCCGUAACUGGUCUGAGAGGAUGAUCAGUCACACUGGAACUGAGACACGGUCCAGACUCCUACGGGAGGCAGCAGUGGGGAAUAUUGGACAAUGGGCGAAAGCCUGAUCCAGCCAUGCCGCGUGUGUGAAGAGGGUCUUCGGAUUGUAAAGCACUUUAAGUUGGGAGGAAGGGCAGUAAGUUAAUACCUUGCUGUUUUGACGAUACCAACAGAAUAAGCACCGGCUAACUUCGUG
Molecule: ribosomal RNA, 484 nt
Filed under: uncultured bacterium
Lineage: Bacteria
Description: partial 16S ribosomal RNA
Rfam family: Bacterial small subunit ribosomal RNA
Source: RNAcentral